GCUUUUUGCAAAUGUGAUUACAUUAAAGAUCUUAAGACGAAAUCAUCCUUAAUUAACCAAAUGAGCUCUAAAUCAAGUGACCAUGCAUUCUUAGAAGACACAGAAGAGGAGAAACCCUUAAAGACAGAGGAGAACGGCAAGUGAACAGCCAUAGGAGGAUGGAGGUGGAGUUUGGAGUGAUGCUUUCAUAAGCCAAACAGCUCCUGGAGUCACAGGAAUCAGGGAAGGACGCGGCAGGAUUCUUCCUCAAGGACUCCAAAAAGAACUACCCUGCCAACACCUUCAUUUCAGACUUCUGGCUCCAGAAUCGUGAGAAGUAAACUCUUAUUGCUUUUAGCCACCAGUCAAGGCCAUGUGUCCUGGCUGGCUCGCCACCUCAAGUGCCUGUGUUCUCUGCACAUUCUUAUCACUGCUGCUCCUUGUCAACACACGUCUCAUUCAUUCCCUUUGUGCUUACCAUAGUCUACCUCUGGGCCUAUAAACACCAGUAAGGUGAACUGGUGACUUUGAGGAGUUUACACUCUGGAAAUGGUUGGGGAAAGAGUGGAAUGUCUGGGGCAGGGCUUCUCAACCUCAGCACUGUGGACAUCUGAGAUGGAUACAUUGGUAUUGUUGGGGCUAUUCUGUGCAUUGUAGGAUGUUUAGUUGCAAUCUGGGCUCUAGUAAGGAUGCCUGUGGCAAGUCCACUAGAGGACAGUAGCACAUCUGCUCCCCUCCAUUAUGACAAGGAAACACGUACCAGACAUUGUCGAUGUGUAUCCCCUGGGGAAGGAGAACGGUGCCUGGUGUGAGCACCCUCUUGUUAGGGUCGUAAACAAGUCAAGAUAGCGCCUGGCACUUUGCCAGAGGGAGUGGUUUGAGAAGUAACGCCAGCAAGCCGUUAAGAUGACAGAUUCCUUAAUGACUGACUGCUGUGUCUAGAUUAUGUCAAUUACGUUAAGCUGUGUGUAAUCAUUAAGAUGAUGAUUCCUUAUUGGUUGACUGCUAUACCUAGUUUAUGUUAAUUAAAAACAAGCUGCGUAUUCAGUUAUGUAUAUAUACCCCUACUGUCCUACAAUAAAUGGCUCCCACUCCUGCUGUA
RNAcentral lists this long non-coding RNA (1081 nucleotides) under Marmota monax (woodchuck). The record is from RNAcentral. Lineage: Eukaryota; Metazoa; Chordata; Mammalia; Rodentia; Sciuridae.